CCAUCAUUGUUGCCAGAUUGGCCAGAUUUCCCGCCCAAUCGAUUGGGUUUGAAAUCAGGCCAAAUCUGGCAACACUGAUGGUG
Molecule: microRNA precursor, 83 nt
Organism: Gadus morhua (Atlantic cod)
Lineage: Eukaryota; Metazoa; Chordata; Actinopteri; Gadiformes; Gadidae
Source: Ensembl